GGUGGAUGCAUAUAUUGGUAUGAGUAACAAGAGAAGCUGCUUGUAAUUCCAUAUGUCCAGCCCAAGUGCCAUCCUUCUCCAUGGACUCACAAUAUUCAUCAAAUGGUACAUCAUCUUCAAUAAAAGGCUCAAACAUAUCACGGUUAUUCCUGAUAAAUUUUACAGUCAUAGCUCGAUAUUUCUCAUGCUCCUCCUCAUUGCCUUCCAAUUGAUCACCUAAUGC
Molecule: unclassified non-coding RNA, 223 nt
Filed under: Hevea brasiliensis (rubber tree)
Lineage: Eukaryota; Viridiplantae; Streptophyta; Magnoliopsida; Malpighiales; Euphorbiaceae
Source: RNAcentral